AGAGCACAAAAAAAGAAAAGCAAGACUGUUCAUAAUAGCUACAGGUAAAAAAAACAUGACCAACAUAAGUAUGUAGCACGUGAUAACACUUGGUUUGUGGUCACACACCAAACUCCCUUAUAAAAGUAUUUAUUGGAUCACUACCUGUUUCCACUAAUGCCUAUCGGCCUAACAGAAAUUAACUUCCUGUGAAGAAAAAGGUCCCAGCAACAUUAUUGCACAUCCUGUGAUGCCAUCACAACCACCAAGAAGAGCAGAGCUAUUUAGAGGAAUUGGGAAGAAGGGACAGCAGAAAGAGAAGAUGACUCGUUCUCGCUUCCUCUCACUGCUGCUCAUCGCAGGAUUUAUCUCAUUGUCCUUCUCUGUAGGUCUCUACCUCAGGUUCUUCUAUCAUCUUUUUGUUGAGGUAAAGCUUCAAAAUGAGUAUGAGCCUUUCAUAAAUGGAAGAAAGAUCAUUAUGAGACAUCUGUCUGAUCCUGAGGUGAGUUUUCUUUCCUCUUCUUCUUUUUCCAGCUUCAAAUUUUUCAUUGUUAGGUGCUUCAUAAAAGUUUCUUUCGAUGGAUGUUUCAGUAAAGCAUGGUGCAAGCCUACUGAGAAUCUGGAGCUAAACACUAAUCCAACGAGUGGAGUCAUCUGCAACAACACAUCCUGUAGCUAAAAUACUGCUAAUAAUAUUUACUCUUAACCCCAAAAGUGAAACAAAGAACAUGUAAAUCCUAAAAUAAAAUAAAGCAAGGAGUUCUCUAGUAGAGGUCAUCUGCUUACAGUGAAAUCUUAAAUGUUGAGUUCAUGCAGAAAAAUGAUGGGUGAUGCUAUUCAAAUGUCCUUUAAUUAGUCUUCUGCUUACCCAAAAAGCUUUGCAGGAUAACAACAUGGAUUAGUUCAGUGUCACCAAGAACUUGAAAUGAAAUGAUUCCAUUUAGGGAUAAGAUAUAUCCUCAGUACUUUUUAACUGAAGCAGUAUUCAUAUUAAGACUUCCUAUGAUGGCAAGAUGCAAAUUCCCACCCCUCCAGCUUCUCAAUCGAUAUUCCGCGAUAAUCAUGGUUGAACAGUAAAACUACUGAGCAAAUUAUUGAAUUUAUAAGGACAACAUACUCUACGCAUGUAACAUAUAUUAGGGAUGACAGCAGGGUCAGAUUUUUUUCAAACUUAUAAUAAAGAAUGAUAACGGCACACUAAACUAUUGUCUAAUAUAAAAUUUUCAGAUCUUCAUAGCUUGAAUAUAAAGGAAUAGAAAGAAAACCAUUAGUUCUCAGUAGAUCCAAGACUACCAUAUCAUAAAUACAGGAUAAAUUGGCCUGGAAGUAGCAGGCACUGAUAUCACUAAAUGAUUAGUCCAAGAAUAUCCAACAUAAGGAGCGGUAGGACUGCUAAUUUCAAUUAUCACAAAACUUCCAUUGGGCAUGUCUAUUGGGAUCUAGAUGAUGCUAUGCUAGUUACUGGAUGUUGCAUCCCCCUGAAUCUGGUCCACGACGGACAUUACCAUAGGCAGAGAGUUCUAGAAGAUCCAUGUCUCGUCCUACAGUUGAUAACAGGUUGGACGUUUUUAAACAAGUAGAUGAUUCAAAUUUUCAUUUGACAUCCAAACAAUAUCAUUUAGCACCUGAAACCCUGCAAUAAGCACUCUUCUGUAUGAGUUCAGAUUUGGAGACCUCCAUCUUGUUCCCCUUGGAUCUAUUAACAGUUGCCUGCAGACAAGAAAAUUAUAGUGUAUCUUGAAAAAUUGAUGGAGAAGGAAAUUGGUAAAAAAUCAUAGAUGUAUCUGAACAAGACAGCAUUAUCAACUUCAAUUUGAAGAAACAAAAUCAUGUAAACUAUAAGAGUGCUACCUAUUAAAAUAUAGAGACUUUGGCUCAAGUCAGGAGUCAUGAUAAUUAUAUGUUAUUCAUUUUUGGUCGAGAUAAAGAUUUAAGGUGCUUUACUGAUUUUAUAGUAUUAAAUGCUAUGUCUAUUGAUGAGCACAGUACAAGAAACAUUUUUGUACUACAGUCCUACAAUAAAACAGGACAUUACAGCAAGUGUAAAAGACGAGAUGAAAAGCUUGUUAAUCACUAUGAUUUGAGAUUCCCUAAAUAUACUACCAAGAUAAGCUGUUAGAUAUAUCUCCACAUAAAUGUCCCAAUGUUAUUUCCUAGAUUAUUUCUCAAACCGAAAACCAAAGAUUUUGGAGAACUUCUGAUUUUUUUGUUUCUUUUCAAGGGUUAAUUAAGUAACAAGUACCCUCCUAUAACUAGGUAAUUUAACCCCUUGAAUCAACUUAAAUGAAUCAUGGGAGGAGACUAGUCUAAUAAUUAGUGCUUUUUCCCUUUUCUUCUACCCUUUCAGAUGAAAUCAAGAAAGUAAAAAAAAAAAAAAUCAAAUGUUAUGAUAGCAUAUUCAUGUGACCAGAUAGAAAUGGAAAACGACAAGCAACAACAGAUUCCUUAUGAAUCAUAUUAUUGAGCAAAAAUAAAGAAAAUAAAAAAAGGGGAAUGCUAACACUCAUCAUUGAGGUGCAAACGAGUCACUGAAUUAUAAAAUAAUGUUCACACAAGAGAAAGAACACAAGCUGAGAAACACAAAAGAAAGCAUACCUGCAAAACUUGGCAGUUUUCCAGUGUGCUUUUUCCACCCUGACAUUAGGUAACAUUAGAGAGACAAACUGCAAUCUAUUGAAAUUUGAUAUAAUAUGGUAGAAUGGUAAAGAUGAGUACAAGCUCUACAACAGAAUAAUCUUUAGAGUGAACAAACAAUUGACAUUUUAAGAAGCACAUUCCGCCUAGUUUCAAUUCACUCAAAUUGCUGUCUGAAAUAAUCACUUUAGUAGCUAAAAUCCAUGAUCAGAAUCUGCUCCAGUUGUAAAAUCCAUGAUUUUUGUACUUGGCCCCAUAAACACGAAAGAUCCAAGACUAUACUCCAUGUAGCAAUUUGACCCAAAGACCACCAGAAGAAUAAAGGUUUGUAGCUUCCGUUAUAACCAAUACAUUACAUCAAAACCCAAAACUGAUGGAUUUCGGCUAACAUUAAUUCUGUCUUUGAAUCUACUACUCAUUAUCAGAGUUUGGACUGGUUUCCAGUUUCAAUAGUUUUGGCUAAAACUGAUUAGCUUCAGGUGAAAUUUAAUAAUUUAAGGUAGAAACAUACCUCUUCUGCAAAACUAAAGAACCCAUCUUAGAGCUACUUUACUAACAGAAAACUGACAAUUCCCAUCAUUAUGAAAACAUAUAGCUAAAUUGCAACUUUCAACAACUAAAGCAGCAAUAGCUGCAGUGAUAAGUUGAUAAAAUUAGAAGUACUGCUUGGGAUUUGUUUGCUUACGAGAUUGCUAAUGGACAUUCCAUUUAACUUUUGUUAUGAUAGCUAGCUUCAUCGGUGGUACCACAGUAGAGAAAUUUGAUAACGUUUUCAUGCAGAAUUCGUGUGUUAAUGAGCAAGCUAAUGAUGCUAAGGUCAUAACUACUAAGAAAAUGGUUCCUGCCAUCUUGCUCUUAACAAAAGACCACAUCUUUUAUGGGCUGAAAAUUUGACGACAUUAAAACUAAAGACUCAGCUGAUAUAGCUAUCUGGUUAUCAAAUAGAAGCUAAAUUUUUAGCAUUACAAGUGUUUGGAAUCACAUAUAAACAAGAGGCAAUAAUCUGAUAGCAUAAUUUGGUAUUGUGAAUAACAUUUGCCAUUCAAAGAAACAGCCGUAGUGCUAGCAUCAAGGUCGCACCUUUGAGUACGGGACUAUGUGAUCGUAGUCGUGGCAAAGGCAUCCGGGGCAUCCGACGAGCUUACGGAAGACGAUGUUUCCGAGGGCGUCGCGGCGCCACCGGUCGGGAUCCCGCCCCUUCACCUUCUCGGCCUUGUCCCAGCACUGCAGCUUGACACCGUAAGGAAAGCUCCUAGGGUUCCCAGAGAACGGCCCAGCAGCGCCGCCAUCGAAGAUCCCCCGCGUCUCGUCCUGUCCCUCAUCCUCCCCGAGGAGACCGGGGGGCCCGUCGUGUAGGAAAGAUGCGGAUGCACUGGAGGGCCUCCGGCGAGAGGCAGAGCGGCGGACGCGUUCGACUCCGGGAGAAUCGACGGUGAUAUCUCCGCUAGGCGACGCGGCGGCUCUCCGACCGCCCGCCGCCGCCUUCCUCGACCUCAUUUCCGCUCCUCUUUCUCGAGAAGGCGGAACGAGCCGAGACAGUUUGUGUGUACCAUCGGAAUCGGGUUUUCAUACAAGAUGAGAAUCCGUUUCCCCCCGCUCAUAAUUCUGACUCAGCUCGUUACAGAUGACUCAUCCGAGUCUAAUAGCCUGGUCUAGUUUGACUCGAGUCCGACUCAAUGUGAGCUAAGCCUGUUAAACCCAGUUCAAUGGAAGUCGGGUUCAACCCUGUACUUGUAGCUGGGUUCGAGUCCAAAUCGGGCCUGUAGUAGAACAAGCUUGAAAGCACAUAAAGACACCUUCUGUCAUGAGCAGUUCAUGCAAUUCCUUUCCAGAAUCCAAAAGAAAACAAUUGCUUGGCUACAAAUUUCUUGCCAACCAAUCGAAUCAAACUUGCUUGCUAGAAAAAGUUUGGUUCGAGUAUCAGUCUCUGCUGAGAAAAGUCUCCCAAACUCAAUGGGGGUUCAGAAUCAGAUUCCUCUGAAAUGUCCAACUCUUCAUACUGGAGUGAUGAUUCCCAGCUACAAUCAUCAGGGUUCAACACCAGGAAUGAUCCAAAGUCACCAUCGACAGCACCAAUUCGAAUACCAGUGGCAGAAUACUUGUGGAAAUUCCAUUUGGACAUGGUCAUAAUAGCUUGCAAUUGUUCUGCUCAAGUGCUAUUACGUAGUGCAGUGUAAGUGCUAUCCAGUGUUCUUUUGACCGAGUCUUCUGCCGGCACACGAAGAAGAGACAUGGAAAUUUUUGCUGCAAUCUCGUCGUCAUCCUCUCAAGUUUCUCCUAAAUUUCCACCAUUAGAGUCUCAUCAGAGUCACAAUAAAAAUUGCAGAUUGAGACUAGCUUUGACAAGGUUCAUAAGAUUGCAAGCCCACGUAACAUCCACAGACUAGCUUUGACAUUUCUUUAAGUUCUUUCCUCAAAUUCCUGGUCUCUGAUUUAGAAUAUUUUUUCUCUGUUUCUUUUCCUUCAGUGAUUCAAAUCUUCUGUAUUUUAUGGAGAGAUCUGCAGGUACUCGAUAAAAAUAUUGUAUGAUGUUGAUGUUGUUGUUGUCUUUCAAGGAAGUUUCCACCAAGCCAGUUUCCAACAAAGAGACUGAGCAGAAAAGAAUCCAUGCUCCUUCCUACAGCCACAGCUCACCUUUCCCCCUGUUUCUUUGCUCCGAAGAAGCAUCUUCCUGCCUUCACAAAUGGUCUAAUCUUCUCCAAACAUCUCUUCCGCCUAUAAAGGCAUCAACUUUGUCUUUAUUUUCUCAUCAGUCUAUCACAGUCUUUUUCCAUUAAUCACCAACCAAAUGGAGAAGUUCGUCUCUUUGGCAGAACCCUUGGAAGUCCUCCUCCUUCACACAGUCCUCCACUGGUUCGCUAUGAUGCUUGAGAGGCUCUCGCUAGGAUUCAUGUCCUUCCUCCACUCGUAUUUCCAGUUCUGCACAUGCCUGUCGAUGGCUAAAGAUGAGCAACUGAUGCAUAGUAGCAGCCGCCAGCCUAGAGAAGACCAGUGCCUAAGUAGAAAGGAAGUGGAGAUGGUCAUGGACAAGAUGGGGAUAUGUUGCCCCUUUGAAGGUGAGCAGCUCUGCGAGCACAUGAGUUCUGAUGAGAUCUCUGGCUUGUUUGAAGAGAACGAGCCAAGUUUGGAAGAAGUAAAGGCAGCCUUUUGCUUCUUCGACGCAAACAACGACGGAUUCAUCGACGCAGUGGAGCUGCAGACAGCACUCCUCAAGCUGGGCAUCACAGAAGGGUUGGAAUUGGACGCAUGCAGAACGAUGAUAGCAAUCUAUGAUGGGAACUAUGACGGAAAGAUUGGUUUCGAUGAGUUCGUCAAGCUUAUGGAGACCAGCCUUUGCUGAAACUUGCUCUGUUUUUCCUCUCUAGUUGUGUAUUUUUCCUCUCUUGUUGUGUUUCUCCUUGGAGCUGUGCAAAGUGAGCUCAAAAAAUGAGAAUUCAACAAGAGAGUUGAUCAUAUAUUUGCCAACUUAGUCCAUCUUUAUUUUGAUUUCUAGUUAGCUUAUCAGUGAAUUAAGCUGCAGCAUCAGGAAGAAAAGAUGCAGGUUGGAGAAUACACAUGUUAGAACUCAUCUAACCAAACCAUAGCUUUCUCAAGUCCUCCUCUGUCUCUCAUAUUGGAUUUAACCAAACCAGAGUUUUCUCAGGUUUAAUCAUGGAUAUUGGGUUGCUUCAUAUUUUGCAUACUUGCCACAGAUAAUUCUGACAGAUGUUGGUUCUUAAUCUCAACUGGAAGUGUAGGCUUGGUGUAUUCAUUGAUUAUUCUGCAUCAUCUCCUCCAGCUCUCAGUCCUGACAGCUUGCUUAUUCUCAAAAACUACAAUAAUAACAGGGCCAGAAGCAUGCAGAUUCAAAUUAAAUGGUAUACAGCUACUUUGUUGGGGGUGUAAGAGACACAAUGUUGCACUACCUGUCUUAGAAGUCAACUCUGUAGCAGAGUUUUGAACUUUCAUGCAACCUUCCUCAGCAUUUGGGUACAUUUUUAAUGCUUGGUCCAUUUGAAUUCAAGUCUACCAACACUCUUUGGUUCCACAUUGGAAGUGAAAGAAUCAUCAGACUGAUUUAUCAAGAUUUAGUAUUAUAAUUAAUUUGUCUAAAUAUUUUGAGUAAGUAAUUGAAGUUUAUUGAGUUAAUCAGUCAUCCUAUUGAACUCCAAAUUUUUAAAGGGAGAUUUGAAGACACCUAAUCACAUCAUUAAUUGGAAGUGUGAUAAGACCUGAACAUAUAUAAUCAUCAAUUUAAGCUUAGCUUAGCUUUUUGGAUGAAUAGUUCAUGCUAUGCAUCUUGAAGAUUAGGGUAGAAGAUACUAAAACUAUGAGAAUAAAUUUCGAUUAAGAAUAUAUAUUUCAGUAGAAGUAAUAUAGCCAACUCAGCAGUUGUCCAGGAUAGUCAAUGAUAGAUAGGAGCAGUUCUGGUCAACAGAUAUGCAAUUAGAAGCAACUAAAACAUACGAUGAGAACGACAACAGCACAUUUCAAUCUCCACUAUACAUGGCAGUACUGUUCCUUCCAAUUAUCUCACUUGAAGCCACAUGAACUUGUUGUUACAGCAGAGGACAAUGAGGCAACAGAAAUCUUCACGGGCAAUCCUAACCCUGGAAUGUCUGAAUGAUAGUGUUGUGCCAUGGGUCGGAAAGGUGCUGCAGCAGGUUCUCGAAUGGCCCUUUGCCAGUCACAUUGUGCUGGAUGAUGAACCCCAGGAAGGCCAACAUCGCCAGUCUCCCUACAGCAGAAACAGUACGAACGGUGUCAGCUAAUCUUCCUCCCUCUCUACAUAACCCCAGUUUGUUCAAUGGUUACAGAGCACUCUUACCGUUUGCGAGCUCCUUCUCCUUGGCCUCCAGCGUGGGGGCGAAGUUGAGGGGGUUGAAGAUGCCCCCAGGGUAGCCGACCUCAUUGGGCGGCAGGCUGUAGUUCUUGAAGAUGGGGUCCUGGUUGACGCUUCCAGGGUACUUGAUGUCUUGCCACCUCCUGAUCUCCACGUAGUGGAAGAGGAUGAACUCGAUGACGAAGAGGGUGGAGGAGGACGCGAAGUACUCGGCCUUGCCGGCGUCGUACCACUGCGGCGCGUUGAUGAUGCCGAUCUUGGUGAAGACCUCCGGCAGAAGCAUCCCCGCUACCCCCAGCAUGGCCCAGCGCCCGUUCACGAGCUCCGCCUGCACGUACCACCUGAGGUUCUCGGGGUCCUCCGCCAGCCCCAGAGGGUCGAAUCCAUUGUCGCCCGGCAGGCUGCGCCAUAUCAUUAAACAAGGUUAACCAGCAGGUCCGCCGGCAGAAUCUGCUGUAAUUUGCAUGGUUAAGAAGUCAGAUGAGUGACCUGCCGUCGAGGUAGGUAGGCGAAGCGAGGCCCGGGAGCCAUUCGCCCUUCUUGGCUUCUACCUUGAGGGACCUGUAGGAUGAGGACGGCGAGGAUCUGGCCGCGAAUUCCCUCGCCAGUUUGCCGGAAGACCCGGUCAUGAAUCUCGACCUGGAGCUGCAUGGCCGCAGGGCGGCGACCGACGCUUGAGUUGCGACUGUGGCCAUCUUAGCCUGAUGGAUUCCUCAGGCAGCUGGUGAUGGUGGCGACGCUUGUGUUGCUGCUGAAGUGCCGACUCCGUUGCUUUGUACGCCACCAGAGAGCGUUCUUGUGGCCAAAACGUAGGAAUGCAAUCCAGCCACUGGUUUCGUGGGAUUCGGAUAUUGGACGGCUGAGAUGUGUUGGGUGAUUUAGCCGGCCAAUGGGAAACCUCUGAAUCCUUAUCCCUCCUUAUCUGAUGGCCAAUCCAAGAGAUCUAUUGGUGGAGUGCUAUUGGCCAGUAGAAGAUGAUGUGGGCCCUUCCCGGUCCUACUUCUGUGGCAGUCUGUGCACCAUAUUAAUGGACUCUGCCUCUUUUCCCAAGAUUAGUUUAGUGCCUGAGUGUAUUGCUGUGCAAAUAACAUAUUAAAUUAAAGAUUAGUGUAAAAAUUGAAGAAUAACAUAUUUAAAUAGAAAAGGUGAGUUAAAAAUAAUAAUAACUUUUUUAAAUCCCAUUUUGAUGUGAAGAUAUCAUAAAAAUGAUAUUUUGGUUACAUUUAAUAAGUAGCAGAGAAAAUUAUUUGGCAGGUGGGACCGAAUCUGAUUCAGUCGAAUCAGAUCGGUUGGUGGACCGGACCGGUUUGGAAUUGGCUUCCCGACCGACCACAGCUGCGUGUUACGCGGUUGCCUGCCUCGGUUGCCUUGCCAGAGUCGCUGUGGCGUAUUGCUCCAUUCCUUGCCUCCCAUAGCUUCCCAAGCCAUGGAAGAUCCUCACAAGAUCCAUGCAACUGGGUUUCCUGCACGAAUCCAAUUCCUUUUUGGCCUCCUCUGCCAUUCCUUUCCCCUCUCCGGAGAACCAUCGACGAAAGGUUUAAAAGCCAUGCAACUGUCCCGUUCCGUUUCAAACGUACCAGCGAGCCAGAGAGUUGUCAUCCUCUCUAAUGGGAAUCCAUGCGGCCAUCUUCUGGCUCCUCCUCCUCCUCUAUCCCUUCCACGAAGCGUUGCUCGCCGGCGCGCUGGGGUGCAACUGGGGAACCCGAUCGUCCCACCCGCUGCCGGGUGACAUCGUCGUGAGGCUCCUCAAGGACAAUGGCUUCGACAAGGUCAAGCUGUUCGAGGCCGAUCCCAAAGCCCUGCGCGCCCUCGGCCGCUCUGGCAUCGAGGUCAUGGUCGGCAUCCCCAAUGAGUUCCUGGCCCCGCUGGCCGGCAGCGUCGCCGUCGCCGAGCAGUGGGUGACACAGAACGUCUCCGCCUACAUCUCCCGAUAUGGCGUCAACAUAACGUACGUAGCGCGUUAGGAACGUGAUUGAAGCAGUUCUUCUUCCUUCGCCUUGCCUGUUCGUGUGUUGAUGUUUUGGUUGAGUUCAGGCAUGUCGCUGUUGGUAAUGAGCCGUUCCUGAAGACCUACAAGGGGAUGUUCCAACGCACCACGUUCCCGGCGCUGCAGAAUAUACAGGCGGCGCUCAUCAAGGCCGGCCUUGGGCGCCAGGUGAAGGCCACCGUGCCGCUGAACGCCGACGUGUACCAGACGAACAACCAGCUGCCCUCUGGCGGCGACUUCCGGCCCGACAUCCGCGACCUCAUGAUUGCGAUCAUAAAGUUCCUGCAGGACAACGGCGGCACGCUCACCAUCAACAUCUACCCAUUCCUCAGCCUCUACGCCGACCCCAACUUCCCCAUCGACUACGCCUUCUUCUCUGGCUCGGCCGCCCCCGUGGUCGAUGGGUCCAUAACCUACUCCAACGUGUUCGAGGCCAACUACGACACCCUCAUAUGGGCGCUCGAGAAGAACGGCUUCGAAUCCAUGCCGGUGAUCGUGGGCGAGAUCGGGUGGCCGACCGACGGCAACCCCAACGCCAACCUGGACUACGCCCACAAGUUCAACCAGGGACUCCUCGACCGCAUUACGAAGCGCCAGGGCACGCCGAAGCGGCCGACCCCGCCGGACAUCUACCUCUUCGGCCUCGUCGACGAGGACACCAAGAGCAUCCAGCCCGGCAACUUCGAGCGCCACUGGGGGAUCUUCUACUACGACGGCACCGUCAAGUACCCCUUGGUGUUGGAGAACGGCCAGGAUCUCGUCCCGGCCAAGGGCAUCAAGUACCUGAGCAAGCAAUGGUGCGUGCUGUCGCCGGAGAGGAGCAUCACCGACCCCGCCAUCGCCGACAGCGUCAACUACGCCUGCCAGUACGCCGACUGCACCAGCCUCGGCUACGGCUCGUCAUGCAACGAGUUGGACGCGAGGAGUAACAUCUCCUACGCUUUGAACCAGUUCUACCAGGUGGCGGAUCAGCAGAAGGGCGCGUGCAGCUUCUCCAACCUGUCGGUGAUCACCAACAUCGAUCCGUCGCAGGGCAGAUGCAAGUUCGAGAUCAUGAUCGACGUGGGAAAGCAUGAGAAGUCGGUCAAUUCCGGUGAGGAAGGAUCAGCUCGGAUCCGGUGGAACGCGGUGGUGGCGAUGGUGGUCUCGGCGGUGCUGCUAUCGAGCGCAAGUAGUGCUUUGCUUUAGGAUCGCGUGACCAUCUGUGGUCUUCAUAUACACAUACAAUUUGCUUCUCUUUCAGAUUCAGGGAAGAUGAGCUUCGCCAACAUAACUUUCCAUCAAAAUGAGAUAUACAGAAUGUGUAUAAUUCCUCGAUAGAUAGGAAACAGCAAUCUGUUUAUUAUCAAUCAUCUGUUCUUUUAUGAGUCAAAGAAUACUGUUCUUCAGAUUCACUACGAAAGUGUUGGGCAUCAUAGCCAUGAUAUGAACUGUGAGACAGGGUUGAAAGGGUGAUACACCAAAGUCUGGAAUUACAUCAACUUUUUCACAUAAAUGAACUAACAAAUCCAUGUAAUUAGAACAUGUAGUCAUCCUGAUCGCCGGCUCGUCUGCUAGUCUCUUGUCCAUCUCCCCCAGCCAUUCUGUUGUUCAUCUUGACCCUCUUGACCAGACGAACUAGGGCUUGCACGACCUCGGACAUGGGUGGUCUGAAUUCUGGCUCAGACUGUCACAUAAAAUACAUGCAACAAAAUUGAACUCUAAGCACAUACCACCAAGAUAUUCAACAUAACCAGCAAUGUCUUAGCUUGUGAUGUGUGUAGAUUUCAAGUUAGGUCGAAAAUUCAGAUAGUUUGGUUUUGCCUUGGCAAAAGACAGAGAUGUUGAAUGUUUUUACCUGAACACAGAGGGCAAUUACAUCAGCAAAUCGAGAGAGCGAUUUUGCAGGGUACAGCCCCUUGAGAGCAGGAUCAACCAUCCUGUCCAGGGCAUCAAUGUCAUGGAGCUGAGGAGUCGCCCACUGAACCAAGGACUGCUCAGAUCGUGGCCUUGAGCUGUCAUAAGUUUGCAAAACAAUUAAAUCAGCAACACCAUGUACUAAAAUCAUCAAAAUAUUGGCUCAGAAGCAUUCACAGUCAAUGCUAUCAUAAGACAAAUCUUAGUCAAGUCGAAAGCGUAAACUCAUGGUUCAAGAUAUCAAAUAUGGCCUCUUAUCCGUGAUUCUUUCUGAAGAGAUUACCUGUCAAAAGGUUUCCUGCCAGUCAUGAGCUCCAGCAUGACCACUCCGAAACUGUACACAUCACUCUUCAUAGUAUACUGGCCAGACAUGGCAACCUCAGGUGCACUGUAACCCAUAUUUAGUUCAGAUGCCUGUACAAGUCAUUAAACAAAAAGGUCAGAAGCAUUUUAGAAAAUGCAGUGGGUUCAUGAUUGUUAUCAGAAAAAAGCAUAUGUGCCGUAAAUUCAAAACAAGAUCAAAAUGCAUUCUUUGUAUGCAUUUGUAUCAUAUAUUUACAAUCAUUUUGAUCAUUAGCAAUAAUAUAGAUAUACGAAUGGAUUUUAUGCCACCAGUUUUCUAUUAGAUAAGCAAAAAAGUAUUUUCAAAUCAUAUAAAUUUUAUUUCUUAAAUGAUUUGGAUAACAUGAAUCAAGAUCAAUGGAGCUGAUCAUGGAACUAAAACCUUGAUGAUUGACUUUAAGCUAGAAUCCAAUGAAAAUUAAAGCCUCAAUACUAUCACCUCAAAAUCAAUUAUAAGGGCUCCAAAACAUAAAUUACCAUGUUGAAGUUGUUCUAUGAGAUCCAAAAGGCUUAGAAAUGAAAAAAAUCAAACUUUCUAAAAGAUCUUAGCAUUUGCAUAAAAUGGACCAGAAAAUAAACAAAUUUAACAGGAUGCAGCAUAUUUUGAUGCAAUCAAUAAUAAUAGAAGUAUCAUGAUCAAUCAUUUAAUUUGUCAAUUGAAAUAAUCUUAAAAUCAUAUUUUUCAUAGAUGAAUGCCUUUUACAACAUUCAUGUUUAUCAGUUUGAUGAACACUUGAAUUUUAUUAAAAACACAUGAAAUUUGGUUUUUAAUCAUUUUUAAACAUCAUAGAUCAUGUGCAGUGACAUUUAUCUUGGACUUGAAGCUUCCAUUAAUAAUAUAAAUGUAAUACAAUUGAGACCUCAAUCCUUUGGUAGGACUCCAUUUCACUCUCUCAUUAUCAAAACUGCAGCCUACAUGUGCUUUUUUCAGUCGCUUAUAAGCAACCCUGGUUUGCCUCAGUCUUAAAUCUGUUAAGUUCAAUUGCAAGUUAUAUGAGCAGUUUAUAUAGAAAACAAGUUGAUACAAAAAAUAUUUGCUUUUUUCAGUCGCUUAUAAGCAACCCUGGUUUGCCUCAGUCUUAAAUCUGUUAAGUUCAAUUGCAAGUUAUAUGAGCAGUUUAUAUAGAAAACAAGUUGAUACAAAAAUUAUUUACCUUAGGUCAUGCCAAAUAUGUCGGAUCUUUUAUGAGUUUAACAUCAAUUUAUGUAAUUUUUUGAUCUAGUCUCAUCUGAUAGUUAAUUUUUUUAGUCUCUAUGGACUAUGGGGUGCCAAUUAGAAUGUAUCUCAAAUUGCUUUAAGGUAAUAUUUUUGUGACAUAUUGCCUAAUUAUCAUGAAACGAAAAUAAGACGUUAGUCUUAUGAUGUUGGUUCUUGUUGAAGAUAACAAUAUGAAGAGAACGAAAAUGCACAGAUAUGUCAUAUCAAGUAUGCAAAAACUCUUAUAGAUGACCAUGUUGAGACCUACUGGAGAACCCAAUACAUUAUUCUAGUUCAUAAUGUCUUAGCAUUUUCUAAGAGGAUUCUGUAAUCAGAAUAGAAUAUAUGAUCUCACACAUUACCUGGAAUUCUGCAUUGGGAACAAGACCUUCGAGCCCACAAUCUGACAGGUGUGGAUUAAGUUCCAUGUCCAAUAGAAUGUUGGAUGACUUGAAAUUUUUGUGAAUGACCGAUGGUGAGCAAACCUCAUGCAGAUACCUGCAUUUAGAAUGUUAAGAUACAAAAUAAUCAAGGGAAAAGCCAGAAAAAAUCUCCAGAAUCUGUGAUGAGAAGAUGAUCCAUGCAUGUUGAUGAAUCACAUAAUGAACUAAAAUGCUUACAUGAGAUAAAGGACAAUAGGAUUUCAGGAUUUACAAAAUGGAACUUAAAAGCAAUGGAUUUAGAUGAACUUGUGAGUUUCAGAGAUCUCUAUAAAUUAAAUUCUCAAUCAACUCUUCGAGUAAAUUGGAAUAAAGACCAGCAUGGUAUAAUGAGAAAAAGCAACAGACACAAUUUCCCUUCCAUAAAUAAUGUUUGAAAUUCAAAUAGAGAAAAGAUCAACCAAAAGUUCUCACUUACUCUAAUGCUCGUGCAGUGCCAAGUGCAAUCUUGACACGAUCAUUCCAAGACAGUGGUUCGUCUGAGAGUUGGAGGAGAUCAUAUAAUGCGCCAUUCUUUUGAAAUUCAUACACCAACAGUCGCUGUCCAUGCUCAGAACAGUAACCUACCAGCUCAGUCAAAUUCGGAUGAUGUAAACGGGAAAUGUUUCCAACAAUCUCAAUGAAUUCAUCAGAUGAUCUGCUAGGCAGGGCCGUUAAGUUUAAUUUCUUCACAGCCAAUACCUAUUCAAAAAUGAAAAUGUUAAUAGAUAGUCUACUUCUUAAUUUUCUUUAGUAUCUCAAAGCAUGUCGCACACAUCUACACUUUCAGAAAAUUCAAGAAAAAAAGUUGUUGCAAUAGUUCUUUCUAAAAACAAGGUAAAAAAACAGUGAAGCCAAAAUCUGACAACCUGCAAAAGUUCGGAGGAUCGGGUAAGUUAACUAUACCUUAAAAACUUGUGUUCUAUCAUGAACAUAAACACAUAAAAUGCUAAUGAUUGUGUAAUACAGGUUGUUGUGUUACGAAGAUGGCUGGAAUUUUCUGUAAAUAAAAGUGAAUAUCUUCUUGGUAAUAAUAAAAUGUUAAAAGGCAUCUCUUGUUGCUAAAAAAUGAAAAGUGCUAAGGUCCUAUUUACAAGGAAAAAAGAACCAUAUUUUGACAUAUAAAAGCUGAUGAUGACAUAGGUGCUUCAAUGCUAUGUUUUGUUAAAGAACAUAGUAGAUUAAAUUAGCUGAGAAGCCUUCGUUUAACAACAUUAUGUACUAGUGUGAGAUGUUAUAUUUACUAGUGUGAUGUUAUCUGCUAUAUAAUCAUGGUUUGUGCAUGUAGUUCACAUUCAUUCAGCAAGUCUUUGCUCUGAUUGUUUUAUGCUCAUUUUGCAGCCACAUGUGGACAUUGCUUUUUAGUAUAAUUUACUCCAGGUAAUAUUGUUCAAGAUUGAUCUGAGGUUUAUAGACGAGGUGUCUCCUCAGUUGUAACAUGGGAUGCAAAGUAUGAACUGUAUGCAUGUGAGUGAUUUUCAAGAUCAGAGAAACUGCCUGAUAGAGGUUAUACAAAAGAUAGCCAUAUCUAGCUAAAAGAGAAAGAAUUUAUGGUUUUAAGGAAGCCAUACCUUUCCAUCACUAAAUUGUGCCCUGUAAACACGACCAAAAGAGCCUUCACCAACAAGAUUAUCUUCACUAAAACUGUCUGUAGCAAUCUGCAGGUCAGCUACAGAAUAAAUAAUUGCUUUUAUGGAUGUUGUAUUAACCUUCUUCGCGAUAGGCUUGUUUGAGAACUCAUCUUCAUCGAAUGAUUUAUAACGAUCAAUUGGUGGAGGCUUAAGGCUUACUGGAGCUGGUGGUGGCAACUUUUCUGUGUCAAACAUAGAGGAUGUUUGGACCGUCUUCAUCUCUGCAACUAAUUAGUUACAUAGUAAGCAAAUUAAUUUCCUGAAUCUGAACAAAAAUUUCUGACGGCAUGCUGCACUUAGUGCAACAUCAAGAAAACUGUUCACAAAGAGGUUAUUACUUCAUUUUUCAAGCAAGAGAGAUCAGUAGAUGGUAUUCAUGUUGCAAUUGGCCAAUUCCAAUGAAUUCAUCAUUAAUGAACUUUUGUCACAAGUUAUGUGUUUAACAAUAAUUGUUGACUACAGUUUCCAGCAACAUGGCAUUCAUGAAAAUCAUUUAUCUUUAAUUAUUAGAAGCUUCAAAAUAAUUGAUUGAUGUACUAUUUUCUAGGUGUAAGAUUGUUCCGAUACUAUGUGGGUUUUAAUAGUUUGAGCCAUGACAAUGACCAUCUGCAUGCAAGAGUAAGACUGAACAUCCUACCAUUUCUAGACCUCUUGUUAGCAGGAGCAUCAUGCAUGUGCAUUGACAAAAAUAGUCCUAUUAUACUCUUGACAAAAAUAGUUCCUAGCAUUUGUGUUCCAACUAAGAGGUUUUGUGUAAAUAAAAUUAAAAGAAUGUCUCCAAUCAUAGAUUGUUUGUAUUUUCAAUUUUUCAGAUAUGACAACAUCCUGCAUUGAAGUAUUCAUUUGUUUCAUAACUACCGUGGCUAUUACUUCAGCUAAUGUUCAGACAAUUUAAAGAAUUGAACAAUGUUCAAUAAAUUAGUUAAGAAUUAUAGAUUAUGUAGGUCUACCAUUGGUAGAAGUCUUAUGUGUCACCACAAAAAACCAUCGAGAUAGAGUGGAUGAUGCAGCAGAUUUACCAGUGAAGGGAGAGAAAAAAAAUUGAACAGAAAAAAGUAGAACAUAUCAAAUUAAAAGAACAGGGACUACAAUCUCAACCUCAACAAUCUGACUGGUAUCAGCCAAUUAAAAAUUAAAAUUUAGGCCAAAAGUCCAGCUUUCAUUUAAAACAGGUGGCAGUCAGAAUCAAAAAGGAUGAGAUCAUACAUAAUAUCCUUUUAUAAAUUCAACUGAAUUUAUUUUAGCACAUAUAUAGUUACAUCCCUGAAACAAAGUUUCAUAUGUGUGGCUUUAGGAGCUUCAAAAUUAGAAGGCAUUACAGAAAUCUAGGUCAUUUAUGUACAGCUGAGCAAACAUUCAACAAUAAUAUUGUGGCCAUAUUAAUAUCCAAGGGCAUGAGGCCCUCACCAAUGAGGGGCAAAGGGGGUCCUACAUACACAUCCUAAAUCUUAUGUCAAAACAGUUAGCAAGAGAUCAUCCUUGUCAUUGCAUCAAGGCCCAUCAUUUAGGUUAAAAAAUAGUACAGUGAAAUCAAAUAAACAAGAUUGUAGUGGUUCAUUUCUUAGUCAAGACAAUGAAAGAAGAUACAGUUAGUCAUUUCAAAAGUCAUGACACUAUAUAAUAUGCAUGUAUUAAUCAACCAUGCUGAUCUAUGGCAGAUAGACUUUGAUCAAAUCAUGGAUAGACACAAUUCAAACUACCUUUAACUUCAUCUGAAGCAAACUGAGCAAAAGGCCGGUCUUGUUCAAGACUUUCUUCUGUUGGAUAUUUUCUCGAUUUCCUCCGUAUCACAAAGAAUGCAAUUAUUCCACCUACGAUUAAGAUAGAUAUGAUAAUUCCUGCUAUUCCCCCACCACCUAUACCACCAGAUUUUUGACCAGCGUUGCUUUUUCGACCUGGUGGAGGAGGUGUAUAAGGUGGAGGAGGAGGUGCUGGCCCAGAGCUCCACUGGUUAUUCUCAGUGCUACAAACAAAGAUUUACAAAUAGGUCUGUUAUGAAGAAUUCAUCUGUAAUUAGAUCAAAUGAUGUCAAUGAAGUUCAUUAAGUACUCACUGGAGAUUGUUUAUCCCCUUUAACUGGUUAGGAAUCCAACCAGUGAAGCGGUUAUUUGCAACGUUCCUAAAAACAAAUAUGUGUACCUUGUCAAACAUAUGAUGUGAAGACGAUAUCCAAUUUUUAAAGGACAGCUUUAUAUGUAAACUUACAAAUUUUGAAGAGGAAGACCGGCAAGGACAUCUAUGUGACCAGUGAACUGGUUGUUCUCCAAAUAUCUGAAAGGGAACAGACACUGGUUAUUAAAGCAUUCAUAAAACAACAAGGCAUUUUCUACAUGCAUGAAAUUCAGUACUCUUACAGGCUCGUCAAACUUGUUAAGCUGCUGAAGCUCUGUGGGAGGUCACCUGUUAGUGAAUUGGAAGACAGGUCUCUGCAGUAUACAUUCCUUAUUCUCAGAAUGUCAAGUAAUCAAGUAAAACCAGAAGAGGAACUGAUGGAUGCAUGGUUAGACCUCUACAAUCCAAAUACAAAGAUCGGCAGGAAAGAUUUCA
Molecule: long non-coding RNA, 17455 nt
Filed under: Musa acuminata (dwarf banana)
Lineage: Eukaryota; Viridiplantae; Streptophyta; Magnoliopsida; Zingiberales; Musaceae
Description: long non-coding RNA (MACU_LNC000873)
Source: RNAcentral